AAGAGCUCAAAUUUGAAAUCUGGCUCCUUCGGGGUCCGAGUUGUAAUUUGUAGAAGAUGCUUCGGGUGUGGCUCCGGUCUAAGUUCCUUGGAACAGGACGUCAUAGAGGGUGAGAAUCCCGUAUGUGACUGGGUGCCUACGCCCGUGUGAAGCUCUUUCGACGAGUCGAGUUGUUUGGGAAUGCAGCUCAAAAUGGGUGGUAAAUUUCAUCUAAAGCUAAAUACUGGCCAGAGACCGAUAGCGCACAAGUAGAGUGAUCGAAAGAUGAAAAGCACUUUGGAAAGAGAGUUAAACAGUACGUGAAAUUGUUGAAAGGGAAGCGCUUGCAAUCAGACUUGCGCCCGGGCGAUCAUCUGGGGUUCUCCCCAGGGCACUCGUCCGGGCUCAGGCCAGCAUCAGUUCUCGUGGUGGGAUAAAGGCCCUGGGA
This 427-nucleotide ribosomal RNA is filed under the name uncultured Leotiomycetes. Its description in RNAcentral is "LSU rRNA". It matches the Rfam family "Eukaryotic large subunit ribosomal RNA", at positions 103 to 533 of the family's 3401-position model. Lineage: Eukaryota; Fungi; Ascomycota; Leotiomycetes. The record is from RNAcentral.